UCCUAGCUGAGUGGGUUGGCUAUUUCGUACUGCAGCGCCAGGCGCUGAGAGCAGAUUGCUUGCGAUUUCAAACCCUCCUCUUCAGUCUCUUGGUGGGUUUUUUUCCUUGUUUUAAAAAUUGGAUUGAAACGGGAUUUCAUUAGCCACACACAGACAUGAACGUCGAUUGGCUCCUGCUGCCUAGGGAGGAGGACUCUUUUUACCCCCAACUCCAGGAUAUGGACAAAAAGGCUGAAAUAAGGGGGUGUUGGCAGUUUAUUUCCUCGCACUUGGGAGGGUUCCACUAACAGCUGGUUUUUUUUAAUCAGCUCGUUUUGAAGUCAGUUUAUUUUGAGGUUUCUCCCCCCUCCCCCCCGUUCCCUACGCUCGAGAAGAUUUCCACUGUUUGGGGUGAGGCUGUCAAUGUGCUGAACCGGUGCCUGGCUGCGACAAUGGACUGGAUGAGGGCUAAUAAACUGAGGCUCAAUCCAGACAAGACUGAGAUGCUGCUAGUUGGUGGUUCUUCUGACCAGAUGGUGGAUGUCCAGCCUGUCCUGGAUGGGGUUGCACUCUCCCUGAAGGAGCAGAGCAAGGCAUCUUGGAGCAAGUGACAUACCCUACAUGGGAGACACCCAUUGUCACUCCAUUGAAGGCAAAUGGCAACAUCCGCAUUUGUGGUGACUACAAGUGCACCAUCAAUAAAGCCCUGCAUCAGCAUCCAUAUCCAAUCCCAAUGGUGAGUCAUCGUUUGGCAUCACUUUCACAAGGAAAAGUUUUUGCAAAGUUUGACCUGGCCCAGGCCUAUCAGCAACUGUCCGUGUAUGAUGCUAUUGCCGAUGCUCAGACUAUCUCCACUCAUCGUGGAGCACUGAGAGUAAAACGCCUCCAGUUUGGUGUUUCAGUGGCCCCUGGAAUUUUUCAGAGCUUAAUGGAGACAAUUCUCAAAGGAGUACCAGGUGUCAUACCUUAUUUUGAUGAUGUCUUGGUUGCUGGCAACUCCAUUGCUGAACUUGCCUCACGGAUGCGGGAUGUGCUGCACCAUUUUGCUGUUGCUGGUCUGGGUCAAGCAUGAGAAAUGUGUAUUUGGUGUUUCCCAAAAUGAAUUCCUUGGCUACAGUAUUGAUGACGCUAGCAUUCGGCCUACCCCCCAAAAAUUAAAAGCAAUUCAUGACGCUCCAGUGCCCCGUAAUAAACAGGAACUCCAAGCCUUCUUGGGACUCUUGAAUUUCUAUCACGCUGUUGUGCCCCAGGCACAAGAGGAGCUAGCUCAGGGAGAGAAGUCAGAUGAGGAUGAGGCCCCUGGGAACGCUGAAGGAAGGGGGAGCACUGUCAGUCCACAGACUUCCCCGGCUAGCCCCCCCCAUUGAGGCCUGAGAGUUCCUCACCUGAGCCAUUGGGAAGCGACCUUGCGUGUGCCAACCCCACCCCCCAGAGGAAUCCCCACCUGGCACUUCAAACGCCUCCCCGCCAACCAGCUUCCCGCUCCCUGACGCCGAGCCAUCACAUAGCGAAGCCUCACUGUCAGAUGGGCCACUGGAGGCUCACCCCCCUCACCCUGCGCGAGACAGUGCGAGAAGAGAGACUUUCAGAGGGUGGAACUUCAGAGGAGCCGUCGUUUACAAGCGAAGACCUUACCUACUUAAGCAGGUGCCCACCCAGACUCUAGUGCUGAGUCAACUCUCCCCACAUGCUGCAGAGACUGCUUAGGUAGCUUAGCUAGGGAAAGUAGUGAGCUAAGCCAGGUUCACAUGGGAGCUAAAAUCCAUAUUGAAUAUGAAGCUUUUUCCUUCACAAUAGAGUUCCAUGGUUCACACAUGUCCAUCCUCCCUACCUUCCAAUUUGCUGCUUUGCUGUUUUGCAUUCACACAUGUUCGCAUUUAUUAGCAUCGCUGUUUCCUUGUGGCCCUGUCCCCAAAUUUACAUGUUAACUCCCUCCGGAACAUCCCCAUCGCUAAUCAAGAAGGGGAGGGGUUUUCUGUCAAUUUCACACUAAGCCGGGAGACAGUGGGGGGUAAAACAGACACCAAAUUACUUUUUUUCUGUUGUCAGUUUCAUUUCCUCUAGACAAAGCCCUUUUUUGUGAAGAAGGAAUGAAAUGUUUAUAGUGCGCAGUGUGUAUAUUUUUGUGUUUGUGUGUGUUUGCGCACACAACCUCUUUAUGAACGAGACCUUAGAUGCAACAGGGCUUCUGCAGGAGCUUUUCCUUGGCUGCAUUCCAGCUGGAAAGUGUUAGAUGGGGGGUUGGGUCGACCCCCCUCUCCUUCCCCUCCAGAAAACCAAGCAGGGCCUCCCUGGCGCAUCCCACGGCAAGUCCUGCUCUCUGGGCUGCAUCUCUUCCUUCCUCCUCGGUGCCUUUGCUGGCCGGCAGGACUGCUUGCCAUCACUGCCGCCACGUGCCUGCCUGAGCACCGGCCCUAAAUACCCUGGCACGGAGCAAAGCGUCUCCUCCUCCCCCAGCAGAGACAGGCACAGGGGAGAGUGGCAGCCCAGCGCCCCUUCUCUUCCCUUGCUUCCCCCGCCCGGUUCGUACAGUAAAGGAGCGAGUAAAUAGAGAGCAUAGCUGGUUUAAAGGACCAAGGGACGGAACUUGCUGGGGGGAAGUGGGGGAAAUGAAGGCUAGAGCCCCUGGAAGUUUGUUCGUCAACAGCAGGAAACAAAAUGAUGUCCAUAGACAGUGUAGGGGGUGGAGAAAGUGAGGAUCUAAAAUGGCAAACAACCCGUGCAGUCAAAAACAGCGGAGAAAGCAACCACACACCGGAUGGGCACUGAAGCGGGUGCGGAUUUUCAAACCAGUUUCAGAUUUUUAUUGCAUUGAUUUAAUCCAGAUUUAAAGGCAAUAGCAGCUGAAUGCACUUGCGUUGGCAAAAACAUUGUGCAAACGGUCCAAAUUAAAAUAAUGUAAAUGUACUGCCUUCAAGUCAAUUCUGACUUAUGGCGACCCUAUGAAUAGGGUUUUCAUGAGGCUGAGAGGCAGUGAGUGGCCCAAAGUCACCCAGUGAGCUUCAUGGUUAUGUGGGGAUUUGAACCCUGGUCUCCCAGGUCUGCAUUAACCCUCAGUGUGAUGGAGACCCUAGACAGGUUUAUGAAGCACACUGCUUUGGAUGUAACCAUCACACUAAUAAAAUGAGAAUUGAACCAA
This is a long non-coding RNA of Rhineura floridana, 3118 nucleotides long. RefSeq lists it as uncharacterized. The transcript is spliced from 3 exons. The record is from RefSeq and is a predicted model, not a curated record. Lineage: Eukaryota; Metazoa; Chordata; Lepidosauria; Squamata; Rhineuridae.